RNAcentral lists this ribosomal RNA (253 nucleotides) under uncultured bacterium. Its description in RNAcentral is "partial 16S ribosomal RNA". It matches the Rfam family "Bacterial small subunit ribosomal RNA", at positions 524 to 776 of the family's 1533-position model. The record is from RNAcentral.
UACGGAGGGUGCAUGCGUUAAUCGGAAUUACUGGGCGUAAAGCGCACGCAGGCGGUCUGUUAAGUCAGAUGUGAAAUCCCCGGGCUUAACCUGGGAACUGCAUUUGAAACUGGCAGGCUUGAGUCUUGUAGAGGGGGGUAGAAUUCCAGGUGUAGCGGUGAAAUGCGUAGAGAUCUGGAGGAAUACCGGUGGCGAAGGCGGCCCCCUGGACAAAGACUGACGCUCAGGUGCGAAAGCGUGGGGAGCAAACAGG